Molecule: ribosomal RNA, 566 nt
Filed under: uncultured Trichoderma
Lineage: Eukaryota; Fungi; Ascomycota; Sordariomycetes; Hypocreales; Hypocreaceae
Description: eukaryotic LSU rRNA
Rfam family: 5.8S ribosomal RNA (bases 197-350)
Source: RNAcentral
AGGGAUCAUUACCGAGUUUACAACUCCCAAACCCAAUGUGAACCAUACCAAACUGUUGCCUCGGCGGGGUCACGCCCCGGGUGCGUCGCAGCCCCGGAACCAGGCGCCCGCCGGAGGGACCAACCAAACUCUUUUCUGUAGUCCCCUCGCGGACGUUAUUUCUUACAGCUCUGAGCAAAAAUUCAAAAUGAAUCAAAACUUUCAACAACGGAUCUCUUGGUUCUGGCAUCGAUGAAGAACGCAGCGAAAUGCGAUAAGUAAUGUGAAUUGCAGAAUUCAGUGAAUCAUCGAAUCUUUGAACGCACAUUGCGCCCGCCAGUAUUCUGGCGGGCAUGCCUGUCCGAGCGUCAUUUCAACCCUCGAACCCCUCCGGGGGGUCGGCGUUGGGGAUCGGGAACCCCUAAGACGGGAUCCCGGCCCCGAAAUACAGUGGCGGUCUCGCCGCAGCCUCUCCUGCGCAGUAGUUUGCACAACUCGCACCGGGAGCGCGGCGCGUCCACGUCCGUAAAACACCCAACUUCUGAAAUGUUGACCUCGGAUCAGGUAGGAAUACCCGCUGAACUUAG